RNAcentral lists this ribosomal RNA (253 nucleotides) under uncultured bacterium. RNAcentral describes it as "partial 16S ribosomal RNA". It matches the Rfam family "Bacterial small subunit ribosomal RNA", at positions 524 to 776 of the family's 1533-position model. The record is from RNAcentral.
UACGAGGGGGGCGAGCGUUGUUCGGAAUUAUUGGGCGUAAAGGGCGCGCAGGCGGUCACGCACGUCCGUUGUGAAAUCGCUCGGCUCAACUGGGCGGGGUCAGCGGAUACGGCGCGACUGGAGCAAGCUAGGGGGCAAUGGAAUUCCCGGUGUAGUGGUGGAAUGCGUAGAUAUCGCUUGGAACGCCGAAGGUGAAAACAGGCUGCUGGGGUUGCGCCGACGCUGAGACACGAAAGCCAGGGGAGCAAACGGG